GUUAAUCUAGAAUUGUAAAUCAUACAUGUUUGUCUCUUUUAUUCAUGUGAAUGCCAGAACCAAGGAGAAGCUUAUAGAAGUGAUAGUCAAGUACCUUAAGAUGUUACCUUACUUGAAGAGUGAUGGUACAGUAUCACCUUGUGGAAGCUUUCCUCUCUUAGCGGUUGUGCAUCGUGUUUGUGGCACCCUCCAUGGAUCAUCUAUUGUGAGCUAUGCCUUCCUUGUGUAAAUUGUUAACCUUGAUGCGUCUCUCUCUUUGUCUCCAAUGUGAGUUUAUCUCAGGACUUCACAGGUCGAUAUUGAAAGUUCUCCUGCAGGGGUUAGUCC
Molecule: long non-coding RNA, 327 nt
Filed under: Sorghum bicolor (sorghum)
Lineage: Eukaryota; Viridiplantae; Streptophyta; Magnoliopsida; Poales; Poaceae
Description: long non-coding RNA (SBIC_LNC015884)
Source: RNAcentral